GCGGCAAUAGCUCAGUUGGUAGAGCGCAACCUUGCCAAGGUUGAGGUCGCGGGUCCGAAUCCCGUUUGCCGCU
This is a transfer RNA of 73 nucleotides. It matches the Rfam family "tRNA". Rfam says of the family: Transfer RNA (tRNA) molecules are approximately 80 nucleotides in length. Their secondary structure includes four short double-helical elements and three loops (D, anti-codon, and T loops). The record is from Rfam.